RNAcentral lists this ribosomal RNA (163 nucleotides) under Lespedeza patens. RNAcentral's name for it is "5.8S ribosomal RNA". It matches the Rfam family "5.8S ribosomal RNA". From Rfam's summary of the family: 5.8S ribosomal RNA (5.8S rRNA) is a component of the large subunit of the eukaryotic ribosome. The record is from RNAcentral. Lineage: Eukaryota; Viridiplantae; Streptophyta; Magnoliopsida; Fabales; Fabaceae.
GAACGACUCUCGGCAACGGAUAUCUCGGCUCUUGCAUCGAUGAAGAACGUAGCGAAAUGCGAUACUUGGUGUGAAUUGCAGAAUCCCGUGAACCAUCGAGUCUUUGAACGCAAGUUGCGCCCGAAGCCAUUAGGCCGAGGGCACGCCUGCCUGGGCGUCACAC